CCUACGGGCGGCUGCAGUAAGGAAUAUUGGUCAAUGGACGAAAGUCUGAACCAGCCAUGCCGCGUGAAGGAUGAAGGUCCUCUGGAUUGUAAACUUCUUUUAUCUGGGACGAAAAAAGGGAAUUCUUUCUCACUUGACGGUACCAGAAGAAUAAGCACCGGCUAACUCCGUGCCAGCAGCCGCGGUAAUACGGAGGGUGCAAGCGUCACUGGGAGUCACUGGGGUGAAGGGGGGCAGUUGAGUCCAUGGUGAACUCUCCGGGCUUAACCCGGAAACUGCCAUUGAUACUAUCUGUCUUGAAUACUCUGGAGGUAAGCGGAAUAUGUCAUGUAGCGGUGAAAUGCUUAGAUAUGACAUAGAACACCGAUUGCGAAGGCAGCUUACUACGGAGUCAUUGACACUGAGGCACGAAAGCGUGGGGAUCAAACAGGAUUAGAUACCCGUGUAGUC
This 450-nucleotide ribosomal RNA is filed under the name uncultured bacterium. RNAcentral's name for it is "partial 16S ribosomal RNA". It matches the Rfam family "Bacterial small subunit ribosomal RNA", at positions 338 to 795 of the family's 1533-position model. The record is from RNAcentral.